RNAcentral lists this ribosomal RNA (400 nucleotides) under uncultured bacterium. RNAcentral's name for it is "bacterial SSU rRNA". It matches the Rfam family "Bacterial small subunit ribosomal RNA", at positions 355 to 753 of the family's 1533-position model. The record is from RNAcentral.
UAAGGAAUAUUGGUCAAUGGACGCAAGUCUGAACCAGCCAUGCCGCGUGAAGGAUGAAGGUCCUCUGGAUUGUAAACUUCUUUUAUCUGGGACGAAAACGGGAUUUUUAUCUCAAUUGACGGUACCAGAGGAAUAAGCACCGGCUAACUCCGUGCCAGCAGCCGCGGUAAUACGGAGGGUGCGAGCGUUAUCCGGAUUUACUGGGUUUAAAGGGUGCGUAGGUGGGCUUAUAAGUCAGUGGUGAAAUCUCCGAGCUUAACUUGGAAACUGCCGUUGAUACUAUAGAUCUUGAAUUAUCUGGAGGUAAGCGGAAUAUGUCAUGUAGCGGUGAAAUGCUUAGAUAUGACAUAGAACACCAAGUGCGAAGGCAGCUUACUACAUAUAAAUUGACGCUGAGGCA